CGUGUAGGCGGUUGGUCAAGUCUGGUGUGAAAGCCCGGGGCUUAGCCCCGGAAGUGCGCUGGAAACUAGCCAACUUGAGCGCGAUAGAGGAGGGUGGAAUUCCUGGUGUAGCGGUGAAAUGCGUAGAUAUCAGGAGGAACACCGGCGGCGAAGGCGGCCCUCUGGGUCGUUGCUGACGCUGAGACGCGAAAGCAUGGGGAGCAAACAGGAUUAGAUACCCUGGUAGUCCACGCUGUAAACUAUGGGUACUAGGUGUUCGGGGUGUUGACCCCCUGAGUGCCGACGCUAACGCAUUAAGUACCCCGCCUGGGGACUACGGCCGCAAGGCUAAA
Molecule: ribosomal RNA, 332 nt
Filed under: uncultured bacterium
Lineage: Bacteria
Description: bacterial SSU rRNA
Rfam family: Bacterial small subunit ribosomal RNA
Source: RNAcentral